ACUAGGUGUGGGAAACAGUGAAUAUUGAGUCAGAGAGAAAAAAGAGGCUUCAAGUGUCCUCCCCAGUGAGGAGGCCUCCGCAGAAUGACCCGAUGAAGAGACCUCCUCUCUCUGAAUGCAGGGAGGGCUAGAGAUGCAGAUAUGCAUAAGCGCAUGGUGCUGAGGAUGGAGUGACUGAGCCCUUGACUGCAGCUCCCUUCAGAGACUGCAGUUUACUGGCUGCACACAGUCUGGUGUGGGGAGGACAAUUUUUCCCUGUGAAGCCUGCCAGGUUUCAGAUAGUAGCUGAACAUGGCAUAGAAAUUUAGGAAUUUCUCUUCCUCAACAACCCCACCUGACACAAGCAUCAGCCACGGUGAGCUUGGCGAUGAUCUCCCUUCCCCUUUGCUACGGAGCUGGUUUGGAUUAAAGUCACAUACAAACUGAGCCAUCUCCAACAUCUACAUCAGGAAGUAACUCUAACUCAAGAUAGAGGUCACUGGAGGGGCAACAGGUGCUGAGAUGUCUAUGCAGGCAAGUCUGAGGUUAGCCUCCCAGAGUUUCGGGGAAAAGCACACAGGCAUUCCUGAACACUCUGAGAGGUGCAGAAAAGUGGCUGAGCAGACAGACACAAGGUCUGGCAUGGAGGCAGAGGAUCACAGCGGAGCAUGGACCUAACAGCUGGAUGCCGUGUGGUGAUAUCACUAUCAGCAGAAGAUGCAACAAGACCGGGGCCACUGCUCAAGGCCAGAGAAACAGGUUCAUGGAAAACCAGUUUAGCAUCACUAACAAGCCACCUUACGGGUGUAGAUAAAGGACUGGCGCCACAACGUCUAUAUGGACUAAACUUUUCAUUUUCAUCACUUUUUGCUUUUGACACCUCCUCCUGCAUGAGGGACAACACCAUUCAGCUGUUGGGAGACAACUGUCCUCGAGUCUCAUGUGUUCCUGCAUUUGUUGUGAGGAGAGGCUCUAACGAUCUUUGCUUCAGACUAUCUUUCCAAGGAUAUUCGUAUGGUGAACAGCACUGAAGGGUAGAGAUGGUGUCUCCCACCAGAGCAGAGGAGAAAUUUGUCUUCUGGCCAGUGUAAUAUAGAUACCUUCCUAGAGGGAAAAGGGUGGGCCUAUUUGCCUGCACCCCAUUAGAAAAGACUGGAUUUUAUACGCUCUGGGUUCCUUGGCUCUUCAUCAUCCUUGUGGGAUUUGUGGGCAUGGAGAACUGAGAACUGGUGC
Molecule: long non-coding RNA, 1212 nt
Filed under: Homo sapiens (human)
Lineage: Eukaryota; Metazoa; Chordata; Mammalia; Primates; Hominidae
Description: HSALNT0323738
Source: RNAcentral